UACGGGGGGGGCAAGCGUUGUUCGGAAUUACUGGGCGUAAAGGGCUCGUAGGCGGCCAACUAAGUCAGACGUGAAAUCCCUCGGCUUAACCGGGGAACUGCGUCUGAUACUGGAUGGCUAGAGGUUGGGAGAGGGAUGCGGAAUUCCAGGUGUAGCGGUGAAAUGCGUAGAUAUCUGGAGGAACACCGGUGGCGAAGGCGGCAUCCUGGACCAAUUCUGACGCUGAGGCGCGAAAGCCAGGGGAGCGAACGGG
Molecule: ribosomal RNA, 253 nt
Filed under: uncultured bacterium
Lineage: Bacteria
Description: partial 16S ribosomal RNA
Rfam family: Bacterial small subunit ribosomal RNA
Source: RNAcentral